Molecule: ribosomal RNA, 2391 nt
Filed under: Escherichia coli
Lineage: Bacteria; Pseudomonadati; Pseudomonadota; Gammaproteobacteria; Enterobacterales; Enterobacteriaceae
Description: partial 23S ribosomal RNA
Rfam family: Bacterial large subunit ribosomal RNA
Source: RNAcentral
GGGACACGUGGUAUCCUGUCUGAAUAUGGGGGGACCAUCCUCCAAGGCUAAAUACUCCUGACUGACCGAUAGUGAACCAGUACCGUGAGGGAAAGGCGAAAAGAACCCCGGCGAGGGGAGUGAAAAAGAACCUGAAACCGUGUACGUACAAGCAGUGGGAGCCUCUUUAUGGGGUGACUGCGUACCUUUUGUAUAAUGGGUCAGCGACUUAUAUUCUGUAGCAAGGUUAACCGAAUAGGGGAGCCGAAGGGAAACCGAGUCUUAACUGGGCGUUAAGUUGCAGGGUAUAGACCCGAAACCCGGUGAUCUAGCCAUGGGCAGGUUGAAGGUUGGGUAACACUAACUGGAGGACCGAACCGACUAAUGUUGAAAAAUUAGCGGAUGACUUGUGGCUGGGGGUGAAAGGCCAAUCAAACCGGGAGAUAGCUGGUUCUCCCCGAAAGCUAUUUAGGUAGCGCCUCGUGAAUUCAUCUCCGGGGGUAGAGCACUGUUUCGGCAAGGGGGUCAUCCCGACUUACCAACCCGAUGCAAACUGCGAAUACCGGAGAAUGUUAUCACGGGAGACACACGGCGGGUGCUAACGUCCGUCGUGAAGAGGGAAACAACCCAGACCGCCAGCUAAGGUCCCAAAGUCAUGGUUAAGUGGGAAACGAUGUGGGAAGGCCCAGACAGCCAGGAUGUUGGCUUAGAAGCAGCCAUCAUUUAAAGAAAGCGUAAUAGCUCACUGGUCGAGUCGGCCUGCGCGGAAGAUGUAACGGGGCUAAACCAUGCACCGAAGCUGCGGCAGCGACACUAAGUGUUGUUGGGUAGGGGAGCGUUCUGUAAGCCUGUGAAGGUGUACUGUGAGGUAUGCUGGAGGUAUCAGAAGUGCGAAUGCUGACAUAAGUAACGAUAAAGCGGGUGAAAAGCCCGCUCGCCGGAAGACCAAGGGUUCCUGUCCAACGUUAAUCGGGGCAGGGUGAGUCGACCCCUAAGGCGAGGCCGAAAGGCGUAGUCGAUGGGAAACAGGUUAAUAUUCCUGUACUUGGUGUUACUGCGAAGGGGGGACGGAGAAGGCUAUGUUGGCCGGGCGACGGUUGUCCCGGUUUAAGCGUGUAGGCUGGUUUUCCAGGCAAAUCCGGAAAAUCAAGGCUGAGGCGUGAUGACGAGGCACUACGGUGCUGAAGCAACAAAUGCCCUGCUUCCAGGAAAAGCCUCUAAGCAUCAGGUAACAUCAAAUCGUACCCCAAACCGACACAGGUGGUCAGGUAGAGAAUACCAAGGCGCUUGAGAGAACUCGGGUGAAGGAACUAGGCAAAAUGGUGCCGUAACUUCGGGAGAAGGCACGCUGAUAUGUAGGUGAAGCGACUUGCUCGUGGAGCUGAAAUCAGUCGAAGAUACCAGCUGGCUGCAACUGUUUAUUAAAAACACAGCACUGUGCAAACACGAAAGUGGACGUAUACGGUGUGACGCCUGCCCGGUGCCGGAAGGUUAAUUGAUGGGGUUAGCGCAAGCGAAGCUCUUGAUCGAAGCCCCGGUAAACGGCGGCCGUAACUAUAACGGUCCUAAGGUAGCGAAAUUCCUUGUCGGGUAAGUUCCGACCUGCACGAAUGGCGUAAUGAUGGCCAGGCUGUCUCCACCCGAGACUCAGUGAAAUUGAACUCGCUGUGAAGAUGCAGUGUACCCGCGGCAAGACGGAAAGACCCCGUGAACCUUUACUAUAGCUUGACACUGAACAUUGAGCCUUGAUGUGUAGGAUAGGUGGGAGGCUUUGAAGUGUGGACGCCAGUCUGCAUGGAGCCGACCUUGAAAUACCACCCUUUAAUGUUUGAUGUUCUAACGUUGGCCCCUGAUCGGGGUUGCGGACAGUGUCUGGUGGGUAGUUUGACUGGGGCGGUCUCCUCCUAAAGAGUAACGGAGGAGCACGAAGGUUGGCUAAUCCUGGUCGGACAUCAGGAGGUUAGUGCAAUGGCAUAAGCCAGCUUGACUGCGAGCGUGACGGCGCGAGCAGGUGCGAAAGCAGGUCAUAGUGAUCCGGUGGUUCUGAAUGGAAGGGCCAUCGCUCAACGGAUAAAAGGUACUCCGGGGAUAACAGGCUGAUACCGCCCAAGAGUUCAUAUCGACGGCGGUGUUUGGCACCUCGAUGUCGGCUCAUCACAUCCUGGGGCUGAAGUAGGUCCCAAGGGUAUGGCUGUUCGCCAUUUAAAGUGGUACGCGAGCUGGGUUUAGAACGUCGUGAGACAGUUCGGUCCCUAUCUGCCGUGGGCGCUGGAGAACUGAGGGGGGCUGCUCCUAGUACGAGAGGACCGGAGUGGACGCAUCACUGGUGUUCGGGUUGUCAUGCCAAUGGCACUGCCCGGUAGCUAAAUGCGGAAGAGAUAAGUGCUGAAAGCAUCUAAGCACGAAACUUGC